UACGGGGGGAGCAAGCGUUGUUCGGAUUUACUGGGCGUAAAGGGCGCGUAGGCGGCCACCGCAAGUCGACUGUGAAAUCUCCGGGCUUAACCCGGAAAGGUCAGCCGAUACUGCGGGGCUAGAGUGCAGAAGGGGCAACUGGAAUUCUCGGUGUAGCGGUGAAAUGCGUAGAUAUCAGGAGGAACACCGGUGGCGAAGGCGGGUUGCUGGGCCGACACUGACGCUGAGGCGCGAAAGCCAGGGGAGCGAACGGG
RNAcentral lists this ribosomal RNA (254 nucleotides) under uncultured bacterium. RNAcentral describes it as "partial 16S ribosomal RNA". It matches the Rfam family "Bacterial small subunit ribosomal RNA", at positions 524 to 776 of the family's 1533-position model. The record is from RNAcentral.